GUUCCAGACUCCUACGGGAGGCAGCAGUGGGGAAUAUUGCACAAUGGGGGAAACCCUGAUGCAGCGACGCCGCGUGAGUGAAGAAGUAUUUCGGUAUGUAAAGCUCUAUCAGCAGGGAAGAAAAUGACGGUACCUGACUAAGAAGCCCCGGCUAACUACGUGCCAGCAGCCGCGGUAAUACGUAGGGGGCAAGCGUUAUCCGGAUUUACUGGGUGUAAAGGGAGCGUAGACGGCGGAACAAGUCAGAAGUGAAAACCCGGGGCUCAACCCUGGGAGUGCUUUUGAAACUGUUUGGCUGGAGUGCAGGAGAGGUAAGCGGAAUUCCUAGUGUAGCGGUGAAAUGCGUAGAUAUUAGGAGGAACACCAGUGGCGAAGGCGGCUUGCUGGGCUUUUACUGACGCUGAGGCUCGAAAGUGUGGGGAGCAAACAGGAUUAGAUACCCUGGUACA
Molecule: ribosomal RNA, 449 nt
Filed under: uncultured bacterium
Lineage: Bacteria
Description: bacterial SSU rRNA
Rfam family: Bacterial small subunit ribosomal RNA
Source: RNAcentral